GGGUUGUGAGGUUAAGCGACUAAGCGUACACGGUGGAUGCCCUGGCAGUCAGAGGCGAUGAAGGACGUGCUAAUCUGCGAAAAGCGUCGGUAAGGUGAUAUGAACCGUUAUAACCGGCGAUGUCCGAAUGGGGAAACCCAGUGUGAUUCGUCACACUAUCGUUAACUGAAUACAUAGGUUAACGAGGCGAACCGGGGGAACUGAAACAUCUAAGUACCCCGAGGAAAAGAAAUCAACCGAGAUUCCCCCAGUAGCGGCGAGCGAACGGGGAGCAGCCCAGAGUCUGAAUCAGCUUGUGUGUUAGUGGAACGGUCUGGAAAGUCCGACGGUACAGGGUGAUAGUCCCGUACACCAAAAUGCACAGGCUGUGAACUCGAAGAGUAGGGCGGGACACGUGGUAUCCUGUCUGAAUAUGGGGGGACCAUCCUCCAAGGCUAAAUACUCCUGACUGACCGAUAGUGAACCAGUACCGUGAGGGAAAGGCGAAAAGAACCCCGGCGAGGGGAGUGAAAAAGAACCUGAAACCGUGUACGUACAAGCAGUGGGAGCACCUUCGGGUGUGACUGCGUACCUUUUGUAUAAUGGGUCAGCGACUUAUAUUCUGUAGCAAGGUUAACCGUAUAGGGGAGCCGCAGGGAAACCGAGUCUUAACUGGGCGUUAAGUUGCAGGGUAUAGACCCGAAACCCGGUGAUCUAGCCAUGGGCAGGUUGAAGGUUGGGUAACACUAACUGGAGGACCGAACCGACUAAUGUUGAAAAAUUAGCGGAUGACUUGUGGCUGGGGGUGAAAGGCCAAUCAAACCGGGAGAUAGCUGGUUCUCCCCGAAAGCUAUUUAGGUAGCGCCUCGUGAAUUCAUCUUCGGGGGUAGAGCACUGUUUCGGCUAGGGGGUCAUCCCGACUUACCAACCCGAUGCAAACUACGAAUACCGAAGAAUGUUAUCACGGGAGACACACGGCGGGUGCUAACGUCCGUCGUGAAGAGGGGAAACAACCCAGACCGCCAGCUAAGGUCCCAAAGUCAUGGUUAAGUGGGAAACGAUGUGGGAAGGCACAGACAGCCAGGAUGUUGGCUUAGAAGCAGCCAUCAUUUAAAGAAAGCGUAAUAGCUCACUGGUCGAGUCGGCCUGCGCGGAAGAUGUAACGGGGCUAAACCAUGCACCGAAGCUGCGGCAGCGACACUAUGUGUUGUUGGGUAGGGGAGCGUUCUGUAAGCCUGCGAAGGUGACCUGUGAGGGUUGCUGGAGGUAUCAGAAGUGCGAAUGCUGACAUAAGUAACGAUAAAGCGGGUGAAAAGCCCGCUCGCCGGAAGACCAAGGGUUCCUGUCCAACGUUAAUCGGGGCAGGGUGAGUCGACCCCUAAGGCGAGGCCGAAAGGCGUAGUCGAUGGGAAACAGGUUAAUAUUCCUGUACUUGGUGUUACUGCGAAGGGGGGACGGAGAAGGCUAUGUUAGCCGGGCGACGGUUGUCCCGGUUUAAGCAUGUAGGCUGGUUGUCCAGGCAAAUCCGGAUAAUCAAGGCUGAGGUGUGAUGACGAGGCACUACGGUGCUGAAGUAACAAAUGCCCUGCUUCCAGGAAAAGCCUCUAAGCAUCAGGUAACAUCAAAUCGUACCCCAAACCGACACAGGUGGUCAGGUAGAGAAUACCAAGGCGCUUGAGAGAACUCGGGUGAAGGAACUAGGCAAAAUGGUGCCGUAACUUCGGGAGAAGGCACGCUGGUGUGUAGGUGAAGUCCCUGCGGAUGGAGCUGAGACCAGUCGAAGAUACCAGCUGGCUGCAACUGUUUAUUAAAAACACAGCACUGUGCAAACACGAAAGUGGACGUAUACGGUGUGACGCCUGCCCGGUGCCGGAAGGUUAAUUGAUGGGGUUAUCCGUAAGGAGAAGCUCUUGAUCGAAGCCCCGGUAAACGGCGGCCGUAACUAUAACGGUCCUAAGGUAGCGAAAUUCCUUGUCGGGUAAGUUCCGACCUGCACGAAUGGCGUAAUGAUGGCCAGGCUGUCUCCACCCGAGACUCAGUGAAAUUGAACUCGCUGUGAAGAUGCAGUGUACCCGCGGCAAGACGGAAAGACCCCGUGAACCUUUACUAUAGCUUGACACUGAACAUUGAGCCUUGAUGUGUAGGAUAGGUGGGAGGCUUUGAAGCGUGGACGCCAGUCUGCGUGGAGCCAACCUUGAAAUACCACCCUUUAAUGUUUGAUGUUCUAACGUUGGCCCCUUAUCGGGGUUGCGGACAGUGUCUGGUGGGUAGUUUGACUGGGGCGGUCUCCUCCCAAAGCGUAACGGAGGAGCACGAAGGUUAGCUAAUCCUGGUCGGACAUCAGGAGGUUAGUGCAAUGGCAUAAGCUAGCUUGACUGCGAGCGUGACGGCGCGAGCAGGUGCGAAAGCAGGUCAUAGUGAUCCGGUGGUUCUGAAUGGAAGGGCCAUCGCUCAACGGAUAAAAGGUACUCCGGGGAUAACAGGCUGAUACCGCCCAAGAGUUCAUAUCGACGGCGGUGUUUGGCACCUCGAUGUCGGCUCAUCACAUCCUGGGGCUGAAGUAGGUCCCAAGGGUAUGGCUGUUCGCCAUUUAAAGUGGUACGCGAGCUGGGUUUAGAACGUCGUGAGACAGUUCGGUCCCUAUCUGCCGUGGGCGCUGGAGAAUUGAGGGGGGCUGCUCCUAGUACGAGAGGACCGGAGUGGACGCAUCACUGGUGUUCGGGUUGUCAUGCCAAUGGCACUGCCCGGUAGCUAAAUGCGGAAGAGAUAAGUGCUGAAAGCAUCUAAGCACGAAACUUGCCCCGAGAUGAGUUCUCCCUGAGACUUUAAGUCUCCUGAAGGAACGUUGAAGACGACGACGUUGAUAGGCCGGGUGUGUAAGCGCAGCGAUGCGUUGAGCUAACCGGUACUAAUGAACCGUGAGGCUUAACCUUACAACGCCGAAG
RNAcentral lists this ribosomal RNA (2924 nucleotides) under Klebsiella pneumoniae. RNAcentral's name for it is "bacterial LSU rRNA". It matches the Rfam family "Bacterial large subunit ribosomal RNA". Lineage: Bacteria; Pseudomonadati; Pseudomonadota; Gammaproteobacteria; Enterobacterales; Enterobacteriaceae. The record is from RNAcentral.